UUUCCGUAGGUGAACCUGCGGAAGGAUCAUUCAUAAUAAGUGUUUUAUGGCACUUUUUUAAAUCCAUAUCCACCUUGUGUGCAAUGUCAGGGUUGCUUUUUCUCUCGAGAGGAUCAACCCCAAACAUCAACUAUAUCUCAACUCUUUGUCUGAAAAAUAUUAUGAAUAAAACAAUUCAAAAUACAACUUUCAACAACGGAUCUCUUGGCUCUC
This 213-nucleotide unclassified non-coding RNA is filed under the name plant metagenome. RNAcentral's name for it is "partial contains small subunit ribosomal RNA, internal transcribed spacer 1, and 5.8S ribosomal RNA". The record is from RNAcentral.